This 455-nucleotide ribosomal RNA is filed under the name uncultured bacterium. RNAcentral describes it as "bacterial SSU rRNA". It matches the Rfam family "Bacterial small subunit ribosomal RNA", at positions 29 to 506 of the family's 1533-position model. The record is from RNAcentral.
AUGAACGCUGGCGGCGUGGAUAAGGCAUGCAAGUCAAACGGGUUGUGUAGCAAUACAUGAUCAGUGGCAGACGAGGUAGUAAUAAGUAGGUAUCAACCCCAAAGUCAGGGAUACCUCAUCGAAAGAUGAGUUAAUACUUGAUGGUCUCUUCGGAGUAAAGAUUGCUUUUUAAGUUAUUUGCUUUGGGAUGAGCCUGCUCGGUAUCAGCUAGUUGGUGAGGUAAAAGCUCACCAAGGCUAUGACGCCUAGGGGACCUGAGAGGGUGACCCCCACCGAUGGAACUGAGAUACGGUCCAUACACCUACGGGUGGCCGCAGUCGAGAAUCUUCCGCAAUGGGCGAAAGCCUGACGGAGCGACGCCGCGUGAACGAUGAAGUGCUUCGGCAUGUAAAGUUCUUUUGCCAGGGAGAAAGUUUAUUGAUAGUACUUGGCGAAUAAGAGGUUGCUAAACUCGU